Molecule: ribosomal RNA, 510 nt
Filed under: uncultured bacterium
Lineage: Bacteria
Description: partial 16S ribosomal RNA
Rfam family: Bacterial small subunit ribosomal RNA
Source: RNAcentral
GACGAACGCUGGCGGCGUGCUUAACACAUGCAAGUCGAACGAAGAGCGAUGGAAGCUUGCUUCUAUCAAUCUUAGUGGCGAACGGGUGAGUAACGCGUAAUCAACCUGCCCUUCAGAGGGGGACAACAGUUGGAAACGACUGCUAAUACCGCAUACGAUCUAAUCUCGGCAUCGAGGAAAGAUGAAAGGUGGCCUCUAUUUAUAAGCUAUCACUGAAGGAGGGGAUUGCGUCUGAUUAGCUAGUUGGAGGGGUAACGGCCCACCAAGGCGAUGAUCAGUAGCCGGUUUGAGAGGAUGAACGGCCACAUUGGGACUGAGACACGGCCCAGACUCCUACGGGAGGCAGCAGUGGGGAAUCUUCCGCAAUGGACGAAAGUCUGACGGAGCAACGCCGCGUGAGUGAUGACGGCCUUCGGGUUGUAAAGCUCUGUUAAUCGGGACGAAAGGCCUUCUUGCGAACAGUUAGAAGGAUUGACGGUACCGGAAUAGAAAGCCACGGCUAACUACGUG